CAGCCGCCGCGGUAAUACCAGCAGCCCAAGUGGUGGUCGCGAUUAUUGGGCCUAAAGCGCUCGUAGCCGGGCCGGUAAGUCCCUUGUGAAAUCGGACGGCCUAACCGUUCGGCGUGCAAGGGAUACUGUCGGUCUUGAGGCCGGGGGACGUCCGAGGUACUCCGGGGGUAGCGGUGAAAUGUUCUGAUCCUCGGGGGACCACCGGUGGCGAAGGCGUUCGACGAGAACGGGCCUGACGGUGAGGGGCGAAGGCUAGGGGAGCAAACGGGAUUAGAUACCCCCGUAGUCCCUGUCUCUUAUA
Molecule: ribosomal RNA, 301 nt
Filed under: uncultured bacterium
Lineage: Bacteria
Description: partial 16S ribosomal RNA
Rfam family: Archaeal small subunit ribosomal RNA
Source: RNAcentral